GCUAGUGUGGCUCAAUGGUAGAGCAGCUGAAUCGUAAUCAGCCGGUUGGGGGUUCGAUUCCCUUCACUAGCUCCA
RNAcentral lists this transfer RNA (75 nucleotides) under Crassaminicella profunda. Its description in RNAcentral is "tRNA-Thr". It matches the Rfam family "tRNA". From Rfam's summary of the family: Transfer RNA (tRNA) molecules are approximately 80 nucleotides in length. Their secondary structure includes four short double-helical elements and three loops (D, anti-codon, and T loops). Further hydrogen bonds mediate the characteristic L-shaped molecular structure. tRNAs have two regions of fundamental functional importance: the anti-codon, which is responsible for specific mRNA codon recognition, and the 3' end, to which the tRNAs corresponding amino acid is attached (by aminoacyl-tRNA synthetases). tRNAs cope with the degeneracy of the genetic code in two manners: having more than one tRNA (with a specific anti-codon) for a particular amino acid; and 'wobble' base-pairing, i.e. permitting non-standard base-pairing at the 3rd anti-codon position. Lineage: Bacteria; Bacillati; Bacillota; Clostridia; Eubacteriales; Clostridiaceae. The record is from RNAcentral. RNAcentral also lists the same sequence under 2 other names.